GUGUCAGCCGCCGCGGUAAUACAGAGGGGGCAAGCGUUGUUCGGAAUUACUGGGCGUAAAGGGCGCGUAGGCGGCCCUCUAGGUCAUACGUGAAAUCCCCGGGCUCAACCCGGGAACUGCGUCUGAUACUGGAGGGCUUGAAUCCGGGAGAGGGAUGCGGAAUUCCAGGUGUAGCGGUGAAAUGCGUAGAUAUCUGGAGGAACACCGGUGGCGAAGGCGGCAUCCUGGACCGGUAUUGACGCUGAGGCGCGAAAGCCAGGGGAGCAAACGGGAUUAGAUACCCCGGUAGUCCUGGCCCUAAACGAUGAAUGCUUGGUGUGGCGGGUAUCGAUCCCUGCCGUGCCGAAGCUAACGCAUUAAGCAUUCCGCCUGGGGAGUACGGUCGCAAGGCUGAAACUUAAAUGAAUUGGCGGGG
RNAcentral lists this ribosomal RNA (415 nucleotides) under uncultured prokaryote. Its description in RNAcentral is "bacterial SSU rRNA". It matches the Rfam family "Bacterial small subunit ribosomal RNA", at positions 505 to 918 of the family's 1533-position model. The record is from RNAcentral.